Molecule: long non-coding RNA, 264 nt
Organism: Homo sapiens (human)
Lineage: Eukaryota; Metazoa; Chordata; Mammalia; Primates; Hominidae
Source: Ensembl
AAUGGUCCUUCCUGUUGUGAACAUUGAGUCCUAGUGGGUGAGUCUAAUUGCAGCAACAUGUGAAAAAGGCAGGCAAGAGCUGAGUCAGGAAAAUAGACAAGCAGGGUACCUUCAGAAAGGCCAGCCAUACCAAUAGCCAGAAUAUGAUCUGGAAGAACCAGCAGAUCAAUAAGGAAGUUCUGUAAAUUAGUUUUUACUCUGGGUACUCAGGGGUUAAUCCAUAGGGCUUAUUCUGGAUACAGUUUUCUGAUCUUACAGAGCCAG